GGGUGAUUAGCUCAGUUGGUAGAGCGCUUCGUUUACACCGAAGAUGUCGGCGGUUCGAAUCCGUCAUCACCCACCA
RNAcentral lists this transfer RNA (76 nucleotides) under Pararhodobacter sp. Its description in RNAcentral is "tRNA-Val". It matches the Rfam family "tRNA". From Rfam's summary of the family: Transfer RNA (tRNA) molecules are approximately 80 nucleotides in length. Their secondary structure includes four short double-helical elements and three loops (D, anti-codon, and T loops). RNAcentral also lists the same sequence under 1 other name. Lineage: Bacteria; Pseudomonadati; Pseudomonadota; Alphaproteobacteria; Rhodobacterales; Paracoccaceae. The record is from RNAcentral.